GCCAGCUUCAUCGCGCUCGUGCGCGACGCCGUGGCGCGCCUGCCCAACGGAGAGGGCACGCGACACGACGUGCUCACGCUGCUCAAAAUGUCGCAAUGGAUCGGCUCAUGCAACGACCAGGCACUCCUCAGCGCACUCUCUUCCGCUUUGGAUAGGUUGCACUCUGCGAAACGCGAUCCCGUCGUUAAAUAUGACCAAAGAACUGCUGUGUGGACGUAUUUACAUAGGAAUAGGUCUGAAGAAGACUGGGUAAAGACAACGGGUCGCGGGCGCGGCGGUAAGGCGGCAGCGGCGGC
This is a long non-coding RNA of Ostrinia nubilalis (European corn borer), 296 nucleotides long. RefSeq lists it as uncharacterized. NCBI's taxonomy places the organism in Eukaryota, Metazoa, Arthropoda, Insecta, Lepidoptera, Crambidae. The transcript is spliced from 3 exons. The record is from RefSeq and is a predicted model, not a curated record.